GCUUUAUCUUACAGAACGUUCCCUGCCUCUGUCCACACCCUCCUCCCUCAAAGUACUGGCAGAAUCAAAGGGAAAAUUAUAUAUGAAGGGAAAGAAUAAUGAAUACAUAUUAGUACAAAACAAAAGAGAUUUGCAAGGAGAGUAGAGAAUCAAGGAAAUUAAGAGCUGUCUGGGAUACACAGCGCAAACCGUGGCAACUGCUAAUCCACUGUAUCAAGAAGAGCUCUUAAAAGGACAGAGGAUACUUUCUGCUGUUUGAAGUGUGAUCUGUGUGCAGUCUUGGGAGUUGUUCUGGCAAAACUGUCAAAGGGUAUGCAUUCACAAGCUCUAAAACCUUUGUAAAAUUACAAAAAAAUGUAUUUUUUUAAAGUUAAAACUCACCCAUGUCUUCCCACAACUAUCCUGUCCCCCCCAAGAUGUACAGUACUCUGUUAGUAACCACUGUCAGUUGUCACCAAGACCUCCCAAGCCACCUUUCAGCAGUGUUAUUUGGGGCUUGGGAGAGUUUUCCUAGGGGUUUCUUUCCUCUCUUUUCCUUUUCCUGAGCUCUUGGCUGAGCCCUAAGGUUACCACAGAAGGCUUGGAAUCUGCAGCUGUCACAAUAACUUUUGCAUUGUCUGCAAAUAUCCAUCUCCUUCAUAUCCUUCCACUCAGCCAACUGCCUGCCAUGUGCACUUUAUUGUUAUGGCCAGUGCUUAAGAAAGAUAAACAUGUGUCCUCUGCUCAAAGUAGGUGCUUGGUGAAGAGUGUACGAAGCUUAAAGAUGUCUGUUGGAAGAGACGCUCCUCUUGCAACAUCAGAUGUUAAGUUUUACUGGCUAUCUUGCUUGAAAAGGGAUGUCUUAUGAUCAUCAC
Molecule: long non-coding RNA, 854 nt
Filed under: Numida meleagris (helmeted guineafowl)
Lineage: Eukaryota; Metazoa; Chordata; Aves; Galliformes; Numididae
Description: lncRNA (ENSNMEG00000016430.1)
Source: RNAcentral